This 69-nucleotide transfer RNA is filed under the name Eurysternus inflexus. Its description in RNAcentral is "tRNA-Trp". The record is from RNAcentral. Lineage: Eukaryota; Metazoa; Arthropoda; Insecta; Coleoptera; Scarabaeidae.
AAGGAUUUAAGUUAAAAAAAACUUGUAACCUUCAAAGUUUCAAAUAAAGAUUAUAAUCUUUAAGCCUUA